ACUCCUACGGGAGGCAGCAGUGGGGAAUAUUGCACAAUGGGCGCAAGCCUGAUGCAGCCAUGCCGCGUGUAUGAAGAAGGCCUUCGGGUUGUAAAGUACUUUCAGCAGUGAGGAAGGCGGGUACGUUAAUAGCGUGCUUGUUUGACGUUAGCUGCAGAAGAAGCACCGGCUAACUCCGUGCCAGCAGCCGCGGUAAUACGGAGGGUGCGAGCGUUAAUCGGAAUUACUGGGCGUAAAGCGCAUGCAGGCGGCCUGUUAAGUCAGAUGUGAAAGCCCGGGGCUUAACCUCGGAAUUGCAUUUGAAACUGGCAGGCUAGAGUCUUGUAGAGGGGGGUAGAAUUUCAGGUGUAGCGGUGAAAUGCGUAGAGAUCUGAAGGAAUACCAGUGGCGAAGGCGGCCCCCUGGACAAAGACUGACGCUCAGAUGCGAAAGCGUGGGGAGCAAACA
RNAcentral lists this ribosomal RNA (447 nucleotides) under uncultured bacterium. RNAcentral's name for it is "bacterial SSU rRNA". It matches the Rfam family "Bacterial small subunit ribosomal RNA", at positions 335 to 774 of the family's 1533-position model. The record is from RNAcentral.